This is a non-coding RNA of Leptosomus discolor (cuckoo roller), 1548 nucleotides long. Lineage: Eukaryota; Metazoa; Chordata; Aves; Leptosomiformes; Leptosomidae. The record is from Rfam.
GUAUAGGCGAUAGAAAGGACCUACAACUGACACUAUAGAGAUACCGUACCGCAAGGGAAAGGUGAAAUAACAAUGAAAACCCAAGAAAACAGCACAGCAAAGAUAAACCCUUGUACCUCUUGCAAGUAUAACCAAGCAAAAUUAAUUUAAGCUUGCCCUCCCGAAACCCAAGCGAGCUACUCACAAGCAGCUACCCUGAGUGACCCCGUCUCUGUUGCAAAAGAGUGGGACGACUUUUUAGUAGAGGUGAAAAGCCAACCGAGCUGGGUGAUAGCUGGAUGCCUGUGAAACGAAUUUAAGUUCUACCUCGAUUGCUCCCCGUGGACCCCAACAACCCUCAAUGUAGCCAAUAAAGAGCCAUUUAAAGGAGGUACAGCUCCUUUAAAAUAGAACACAGUCUCCCUUAGCGGAUAACCUACCCACCCCAAAAAUAUUGUGGGCCUUCAAGCAGCCACCAAUAAAGAAUGCGUCAAAGCUCCACCCAUAAAAAAAAUCCAAAAGCAACAUGACUCCCUUCAUACUAACAGGCCAAUCUAUUACACAUAGAAGAAUUAAUGCUAAAAUGAGUAACUAGGGUCUCCCCUCUCAAGUGCAAGCUUACACUGCCCAAAUUAUUAACAAACCCAGUCGAUGUUCCAAUCCCAACAAGACUAAACAUCACAUUCGCUCUGUUAACCCACCUACAGGAGCGCCCACUAGAAAGAUUAAAACCCACAAAAGGAACUAGGCAAACUCAAGGCCCGACUGUUUACCAAAAACAUAGCCUUCAGCCCACCGAGUAUUGAAGGUGAUGCCUGCCCAGUGACACCAUGUUCAACGGCCGCGGUAUCCUAACCGUGCGAAGGUAGCGCAAUCAAUUGUCUCAUAAAUCGAGACCUGUAUGAAUGGCUAAACGAGGUCUUAACUGUCUCUUGCGGGUAAUCAGUGAAAUUGAUCUUCCUGUGCAAAAGCAGGAGUGUACACAUAAAAUGAGAAGACCCCGUGGAACUUAAAAAUCACAACCCACUACACACAAACUCAACCCUACCAGGCCCACUCAACUGUCAAACACCUGGCUUCCAUUUUUUGGUUGGGGCGACCUUGGAGAAAAACAAAUCCUCCAAAAAUAGGGCCAUAAAACCCUAACCAAGAGCAACAUCUCAACGUGCCAAAAGCAACCAGACCCAAUACACUUGACCAAUGAACCAAGCUACCCCAGGGAUAACAGCGCAAUCUCCCCCAAGAGCCCAUAUCGACAGGGAGGUUUACGACCUCGAUGUUGGAUCAGGACAUCCUAAUGGUGCAGCAGCUAUUAAGGGUUCGUUUGUUCAACGAUUAACAGUCCUACGUGAUCUGAGUUCAGACUGGAGCAAUCCAGGUCGGUUUCUAUCUAUGACAAAUUCUUCCUAGUACGAAAGGACCGGAAAAGUAAGGCAAAUACCUCAAGCACGCCUUCACCUUAAGCAAUGAACCCAACAAAACUGCCAAAGGGCCACUCAAACCUACCCUAGAAAAGGACAGCUAGCGUGGCAGAGCUCAGCAAAUGCAAAAGGCUUAAGCCCUUUACCC